This 422-nucleotide ribosomal RNA is filed under the name uncultured bacterium. RNAcentral describes it as "bacterial SSU rRNA". It matches the Rfam family "Bacterial small subunit ribosomal RNA", at positions 355 to 793 of the family's 1533-position model. The record is from RNAcentral.
UGAGGAAUAUUGCGCAAUGGGCGAAAGCCUGACGCAGCGACGCCGCGUGGACGAUGAAGGUCUUCGGAUCGUAAAGUCCUUUUCUGCGUGACGAGGAAGGACGGUAGCGCAGGAAUAAGUGUCGGCUAACUACGUGCCAGCAGCCGCGGUAACACGUAGGACGCAAGCGUUAUCCGGAAUUACUGGGCGUAAAGGGCGUGUAGGCGGCACGGUAAGUCAACCGUGAAAGCUCCCGGCUAAACUGGGAGAGGUCGGAUGAGACUGCCGAGCUAGAGGGUCGUAGAGGGGUGUGGAAUUCCGGGUGUAGUGGUGAAAUGCGUAGAGAUCCGGAGGAACACCAGAGGCGAAGGCGGCACCCUGGACGACACCAGACGCUGAGACGCGACAGCACGGGGAGCGAACGGGAUUAGAAACCCCGGUAG